Erigeron canadensis is the source of this 833-nucleotide long non-coding RNA. RefSeq lists it as uncharacterized. The transcript has 4 exons. The record is from RefSeq and is a predicted model, not a curated record. Lineage: Eukaryota; Viridiplantae; Streptophyta; Magnoliopsida; Asterales; Asteraceae.
CUAACCCCUCCCCCUCCCUCUCAUUUCUCACGUUCUUUCUCUCUCUUUUAUCUCUUUCUUUCCUUCCUUUCUCUCAAAAAGCAAGAACAACACCCUCUGGCUUCAAAACCGGAAUUUUGAGCUCCAAGGACUUUUGGUUCGCUGCUAGGGAUGUGAAGUUUAGUCCACAAAGCAAUCUUUUCACUUGUCUCCAUGGUGAACCUAUAAAAGCAAAAAGAAUGGGAGGCGAAGUCAAGGCCAGCCAAACACACGGGUCAAGUAAUAGAAAUAUUGACUCUCCCUCGUGAAACUAAAUUAAUCCUAGAGGGUAAUCGUCUCUUAGAAGCCGCCAUAAAAAUAUGUUAACCUUCUUAGGAAAUACAGGUUCCGGAUUGUACUCUUAUCCUCGGCAGGAAGUAAUGUGUUAUCAGUUGCUUUUCUUGGAUUGCGAACAGUAAAGGUCUUCCUACCAUGGUAGUUCCAAACCCAGUCAACACUACUUUCAGCAAGAGUGAUUUUAACGAUUAGAUGGAGCAAAAAUAUUCCAUCUUCAAGAAUUUUUAUCAGAAAUACAGCAUGCCAUAUCAAUCUCUAAUGCAAAAACUCUAGUCAGGCAAGGAGGAUUUCGAGGAUUUGGGACCGUCUACAAGAUAGCCAAGGCAAACCAUGAUAUACUCAUUAGGGGGCUCCUCUAGAUGGACAGGAAAUAGCUGUGAAGAGCCUACUCUUCAACAGAUUCAGAGCAGCAGAUUUCUAUAAUCAUUAUAAGCUUUUGAUAGCAGUCUUUAUCUCUAAUUUGUUCAGUAUACCAUGCUAAUACCAAAGAGUCAUGAGCCACUAAAAUAGUUUGCUAA